This 460-nucleotide ribosomal RNA is filed under the name uncultured bacterium. RNAcentral describes it as "partial 16S ribosomal RNA". It matches the Rfam family "Bacterial small subunit ribosomal RNA", at positions 338 to 795 of the family's 1533-position model. The record is from RNAcentral.
CCUACGGGAGGCAGCAGUGAGGAAUAUUGGUCAAUGGACGCGAGCCUGAACCAGCCAAGUAGCGUGAAGGAUGACUGCCCUAUGGGUUGUAAACUUCUUUUAUAUGGGAAUAAAGUGUUCCACGUGUGGCUUUUUGUAUGUACUAUAUGAAUAAGGAUCGGCUAACUCCGUGCCAGCAGCCGCGGUAAUACGGAGGAUCCGAGCGUUAUCCGGAUUUAUUGGGUUUAAAGGGAGCGUAGGUGGAUUGUUAAGUCAGUUGUGAAAGUUUGCGGCUCAACCGUAAAAUUGCAAUUGAAACUGGCAGCCUUGAGUACAGUAGAGGUGGGCGGAAUUCGUGGUGUAGCGGUGAAAUGCUUAGAUAUCACGAAGAACUCCGAUUGCGAAGGCAGCUUACUGGACUGCAACUGACACUGAGGCUCGAAAGUGUGGGUAUCAAACAGGAUUAGAUACCCCAGUAGUC